AUGUAAUACUUCCGUAGGGUAACCUGCGGAGGGAUCAUUACAAGUGACCCCGGUCUAACCACCGGGAUGUUCAUAACCCUUUGUUGUCCGACUCUGUUGCCUCCGGGGCGACCCUGCCUUCGGGCGGGGGCUCCGGGUGGACACUUCAAACUCUUGCGUAACUUUGCAGUCUGAGUAAACUUAAUUAAUAAAUUAAAACUUUUAACAACGGAUCUCUUGGUUCUGGCAUCGAUGAAGAACGCAGCGAAAUGCGAUAAGUAAUGUGAAUUGCAGAAUUCAGUGAAUCAUCGAAUCUUUGAACGCACAUUGCGCCCCCUGGUAUUCCGGGGGGCAUGCCUGUUCGAGCGUCAUUUCACCACUCAAGCCUCGCUUGGUAUUGGGCAACGCGGUCCGCCGCGUGCCUCAAAUCGACCGGCUGGGUCUUCUGUCCCCUAAGCGUUGUGGAAACUAUUCGCUAAAGGGUGUUCGGGAGGCUACGCCGUAAAACAACCCCAUUUCUAAGGUUGACCUCGGAUCAGGUAGGGAUACCCGCUGAACUUAAGCAUAUCAAUAAGCGGAGGAA
This 562-nucleotide ribosomal RNA is filed under the name Cladosporium sp. C7 FP-2016. RNAcentral's name for it is "eukaryotic LSU rRNA". The stretch from base 197 to 350 matches the Rfam family "5.8S ribosomal RNA". Lineage: Eukaryota; Fungi; Ascomycota; Dothideomycetes; Cladosporiales; Cladosporiaceae. The record is from RNAcentral.